UAGAGAGGUAGCACCUUUGCUUCGGGAUGACUGGGCACUGGUCCUCAUGACAACCAGGGCUGGGUGACGCGUCCGUGCCUAAAAGCACACAUAGCCUCUCCUCAGCCAGGACCGUACUGCGUGGUGCAGAGCCACAUCCUACUCGAGGUGAUCCUGUUAACGCAGAACAGUACGGAUCUAGACUGGGAGGUCAAUAAAUAUCCCUGGUGGAGGGCAGCAGCGACCACCAGUACCAGGAUGGGGCGCAAAGAAAAUGACUCUGGACCGGCUCAUUACUGGAUCACUACAAGUAUGACUGUAGCAGUUUUAAUAGUUGUGGUACUGCGAUACAGAAAAGAAACGGAACUCUUACUGUAUUAUACUUUCCAAAAAAUCUCAAUGGCUGAAGAAAACACAAAAAUGGCCCUCAGUCCGGGGCACCCCUUAAGUGGGGAGAGGGUGCGAAGAAUACCCCCGUCUUCCACUAGUGAGAAAUAUGCAGAUAGAGACAGCGAAAAAUUCAAAAUCUACGGUAAAAUCGUCCGCAUUGCCACAUGGAAUACACGCAGCUUAUUUAUGGCAGGAAAACUUACAAACGUUGAAUGCGAGAUGAACAGAUUGAACAUAGACAUCAUGGGAAUGAGUGAAGUCAGAUGGCCUAACUCUGGAAAACAAAAAACUAAAAGAGGGACCAUGUACUAUUCAGGAGGCACUGAUCCGGACCAUAGAUAUGGAACGGCAAUACUUGUCUCAGAGAGAAUAGCAAAGUCAGUGACAGAGUUCAUUCCCCUAAGUGAUAGGGUCAUGAUGCUAAAACUACAAACAACCCACAGAAAUUUAAACAUAAUCCAGAUCUACGCUCCAACACAGGACAAAUCAGACCAAGAAAUCGAAGAAUUCUACUCCCAAGUUGAUGAAGCCAUGCGACUGACAAGGAAGGGUGAAAUAAGUAUGGUUAUUGGUGACUUCAAUGCCAAGGUAGGCCGUGGUUCUGAUGGAGAUAGUGUAGGGAAUUACGGUCUUGGAACGCGCAAUGAAAGAGGCGACAGACUGAUACAGUUCUGUGUAGAAAACAACCUAAUCAUAACUAACACCUUUUUUAAGCUUCACCCCAGAAGACUAUAUACCUGGAGAUCACCUGCAGACAGAGAGGGGACGAUUAUCAGAAACCAGAUUGAUUUUAUUCUCAUAGGACAGGAAUUCAAAAAAUACAUAAAAGCAGUGAAAACAUACCCUGGCGCAGACAUUAAUAGUGAUCACAAUCCUGUGGUGAUAGACUUCAAACUCAAACGAUUUAUGAAUACCAAAAGGGAAAAGACCACAAAACAAAUAGACUUUGCACAACUGAAUAACACCAAAAAGAAACAAGAAAUAAGUUUGAAAAUAGAAAGAGAAAUAGAAGCAGCAGUCAGUUUGGCACCAGAAAGGGAAAUAGAGACGACAUGGAACAUAUUUAAAAACAAAAUAACCAACAUAGAGGAACAGGACAUCGGCUACAUAAAGAACGACAGGAAGAAAGAGUGGAUGACACAGGAAAUUAUGGACCUAAUGAAUGAGAGAAGGAAACUUAAAACAAAGCCGACAGAAUACAAACAACUAAAUAGAACUAUUAGAAAGAAAUGCAGAGAGGCAAAGGAACAAUGGUUGAUAGCAAAAUGCCAAGAAAUAGAGGAGCUACAAUCAAAACAUGACAGCUUUAAUCUGCAUAAAAGAAUAAAAGAGAUGACAGGCAAACACAGGCGACACCAUGCAUCAAUACUUAGGGACAAACACAAUGAAAUAAUUACGGGAAUAGAUGCUAAACUGAAAAGAUGGCAUGAGUACAUCGAACAGCUAUACAACGACGAAAGAACACACACCCCACCCUCAUAUAACAGCGAACUAAACGAAAAAGGUCCAGUAAUAUCCAAAUAUGAGGUCAUGCACGCCAUCAGAUCACAAAAAAAUAGAAAAGCUACUGGGCCAGACAAAAUUCAUGCAGAAACACUUAAACUAAUAGCAGAUAAUGAAGGCAAAAGCUUGGAUUUGAUAACAUCACUGUUUAACAAGAUCUAUAGUUCGGGCAAGAUACCAGCCGAUUGGCUAAAGUCAACUUUUAUAACGCUGCCCAAAAAAGUCAAUGCCUCUAAUUGUGACGAUUAUAGAAUGAUUAGCCUCAUGUCCCACGUGCUCAAAAUAUUUUUUAGAAUUGUCCACACAAGAAUAUACAGGAAAUGCGAACUGCAAAUAGGCGAAACUCAGUUUGGAUUCCGAAACGGACUAGGUACACGCGAAGCACUCUUCUCUCUGAAAGUGUUAACACAAAGAUGCAGGGACAUGAAUGUAAGCGUAUAUGCAUGUUUUAUCGACUACCGCAAAGCAUUCGAUUGCGUCAACCAUCAAAAGAUGAUCGAAAUACUAACAGCAACCGGUAUCGAUGAGCAGGACUUACGUAUUAUUUCAGAACUUUACUGGAGGCAAACAGCAGUGGUCAACAUCGAGCAAAACAUAUCAGAUGAGAUACUGAUCAAGAGGGGAGUUCGCCAGGGUUGUGUGCUGUCCCCACUAUUGUUUAACCUCUACUCGGAGGCUAUAUUCAGAGAGGCAAUGGAUGGAAUUAACGGAGGAAUAAAGAUCAAUGGCAUCAGCAUAACCAAUAUCAGGUACGCGGACGACACUGUUGUCAUGGCAAGCAGUCCGUCCGAGCUACAAAUCAUGAUAGAUCGCAUAGUCCAUUAUAGCCACUUUUUCGGAUUGCAAUUAAAUGUCGCCAAAACCAAAACACUAGCGUUCUCAAAAACGGUUACUCAUGUACAUCUAAAUGUUAAUGGGAAGCCAGUUGAACAAGUCGACUCAAUCAAAUACCUGGGAGCCAAUAUCAAUAGCCAAUGUAAUCCGAAGAAGGAAAUAUUGUCGAGAAUCGAGCAGGCGAGAAGAACAUUUAUGAGCAUGAGGGUAUUCUUCAUAAGAUCUGACAUAAGUCUUGAGCUCAGAUUGAGAAUGGUGAGAUGCUUCAUCUUCUCUGUUUUGCUUUAUGGAUGCGAGAGCUGGACACUCGAUGCUCAAACAGAGAAGAGACUAGAAGCGUUCGAGAUGUACAUAUAUAGAAGAAUACUGCGGAUCUCAUGGGUACAGAAAAUCACCAAUAAUGAGGUUUUGAAUCGCAUGCACGGGUCUCGCGAAUUAUUAAAUAUAAUAAAACAGAGAAAAGUGCAGUAUCUUGGCCAUGUUAUGAGGGGCGAAAAAUAUGAAUUUCUGAGGCUGAUAAUAGAGGGCAAAGUCCAAGGUAAAAGAUCGAUAGGAAGACGCCAAAACUCGUGGCUCAAGGACCUCAGGAGGUGGUUUAAUCGCUCAUCAAUAGAAAUAUUCCGGGCUGCAGUUUCCCGAGCCACAAUAGCCAUUUGGAUCGCCGACCUUCGAAAGGAGAGGGCGUAGUAAGAAGAAAGAAGAAGAAGUAUCUGUUUGGAUGGCAGCUCUUCAGACAGGAGAAAAAGCGGCCGUGGCAGCGAAAUCGGCGGUUCACGGAUCGCUCCACUAUCUGAACAAGACCAUUUUCAACGACACUAAGCCAUUCGAAAAGCUGACGACAAAGGCGGACGAAGCUAAUGCGGAGGGCG
This is an RNA transcript of Cylas formicarius (sweet potato weevil), 3575 nucleotides long. It is a transcript of the gene named PP2C-like domain-containing protein CG9801, with no coding region annotated. NCBI's taxonomy places the organism in Eukaryota, Metazoa, Arthropoda, Insecta, Coleoptera, Brentidae. The transcript is spliced from 2 exons. The record is from RefSeq and is a predicted model, not a curated record.